This 485-nucleotide ribosomal RNA is filed under the name uncultured bacterium. RNAcentral describes it as "bacterial SSU rRNA". It matches the Rfam family "Bacterial small subunit ribosomal RNA", at positions 28 to 524 of the family's 1533-position model. The record is from RNAcentral.
GACGAACGCUGGCGGCGUGCUUAACACAUGCAAGUCGAACGAUGAACCGGAGCUUGCUCCGGGGAUUAGUGGCGAACGGGUGAGUAACACGUGGGCAACCUGCCCCAGACACCGGGAUAACCUUCCGAAAGGAUGGCUAAUACCGGAUAUGACCACUUCGGGCAUCCGACGGUGGUGGAAAGGAUUCUGGUCUGGGAUGGGCCCCGCGGCCUAUCAGCUUGUUGGUGGGGUAAUGGCCUACCAAGGCGACGACGGGUAGCCGGCCUGAGAGGGCGACCGGCCACACUGGGACUGAGACACGGCCCAGACUCCUACGGGAGGCAGCAGUGGGGAAUAUUGCGCAAUGGGCGAAAGCCUGACGCAGCGACGCCGCGUGAGGGACGAAGGUCUUCGGAUUGGUAAACCUCUUUCAGCAGGGACGAAGCGAAAGUGACUGUACCUGCAGAAGAAGCACCGGCUAACUACGUGCCAGCAGCCGCGGUAAU